This is a long non-coding RNA of Carassius carassius (crucian carp), 285 nucleotides long. RefSeq lists it as uncharacterized. The transcript has 2 exons. The record is from RefSeq and is a predicted model, not a curated record. NCBI's taxonomy places the organism in Eukaryota, Metazoa, Chordata, Actinopteri, Cypriniformes, Cyprinidae.
AGCAAAUCUAUUUUUACAGGAUUCUUUGCUCAUAUUUAAAUAAUUCUGAAGUGAGGUCCAUGUAGCAGACAAACUGAUGUGAUACAGAUGUAAAUCAUCAGUUGUCCUGUUUGAGUUCGAACAACAGGCUCAAGAGACCAGCUCAAAUAAUGAAAUCACUGUCAGGAGUAAACCUUAAUAAACUUUAUUUAUGUACAUCACAAUAUACAAACACAUUUGUACAUAAAUAUUCAAAUUCACCAAAAAAUAAGGCUAAAAUAUUUUUAAAAUUCUAAAAAAAAUAAA